This 468-nucleotide ribosomal RNA is filed under the name uncultured bacterium. RNAcentral describes it as "partial 16S ribosomal RNA". It matches the Rfam family "Bacterial small subunit ribosomal RNA", at positions 28 to 507 of the family's 1533-position model. The record is from RNAcentral.
GACGAACGCUGGCGGCGUGCUUAACACAUGCAAGUCGAACGGAAAGGCCCUGCUUUUGUGGGGUGCUCGUGUGGCGAACGCGUGAGUAACACGCGUGUAACCUCCCCUUGACUUUGGGAUAACUUCAGGAAACUGGGGCUAAUACCGCGUAGGAGCUCCUGCUCCACGGGGGGGGUUGGAAAGAUUCGGCGGUUGGGGAUGGACUCGCUGCUUACCAGCUUGUUGGUGGGGUAGUGGCUUUCGAAGGCUUUGACGGGUACCCGGCCUGGGAGGGUGACCGGGCACAUUGGGACUGAGAUAGGGACCAGACGCGUACGGGAGGCAGCGGGGGGAAGUAUUGCGCAACGGGGGGAAGCCUGAUACAACGACGCCGGGAGCGUGAUAACGGCCUACGGGUUAAAAACAGAUUUCGAAUGAGACGAAGAGUGAGCGACGGUAAUGGGUAAGAAAGCACCGGCUAACUACGUG